This 1486-nucleotide ribosomal RNA is filed under the name uncultured bacterium. RNAcentral describes it as "bacterial SSU rRNA". It matches the Rfam family "Bacterial small subunit ribosomal RNA". The record is from RNAcentral.
GAUUGAACGCUGGCGGCAGGCUUACACAUGCAAGUCGAACGUGGACGCCCUUUCGAGGGUUAGUAGCGUGGCGGACGGGUGAGUAACGCGUGGGUGACCUGCCCUCUGGUGGGGGAUAACCCGGGGAAACCCGGGCUAAUACCGCAUACGUCCACGGGCUUUGGUCCGUGGGGAAAGCUGGCCUCUGAUGCAAGCUAGUGCCGGAGGAGGGGUCCGCAUCGGAUUAGCUAGUUGGUGGGGUAACGGCUCACCAAGGCGACGAUCCGUAGCUGGUCUGAGAGGAUGAUCAGCCACACUGGGACUGAGACACGGCCCAGACGCCUACGGGCGGCAGCAGUGGGGAAUCUUGGACAAUGGGGGCAACCCUGAUCCAGCCAUGCCGCGUGGGUGAAGAAGGCCUUCGGGUUGUAAAGCCCUUUCAGCAGGGAAGACGCCGGGUCGUUCCAACAGGGCGGCCUUGGUGACGUUACCUGCAGAAGAAGCACCGGCCAGCUCCGUGCCAGCAGCCGCGGUAAUACGGAGGGUGCAAGCGUUGUCCGGAAUCACUGGGUGUAAAGGGUGUGCAGGCGGGGCAGCAAGUCGGGUGUGAAACCCCAUGGCUUAACCAUGGAGGUGCAUUCGAAACUGUUGCUCUUGAGUCCCGGAGAGGCUGUCGGAAUUCGUGGUGUAGCGGUGAAAUGCGUAGAUAUCACGAGGAACACCAGAGGCGAAAGCGGGCAGCUGGACGGGUACUGACGCUCAGGCACGAAAGCGUGGGGAGCAAACAGGAUUAGAUACCCUGGUAGUCCACGCCGUNAACGAUGAAUGCUCGCCGUUGCCCCGCUUAAGGGGCAGUGGCUAAGUUAACGCGUUAAGCAUUCCACCUGGGGGAGUACGAUCGCAGGGUUGAAACUCAAAGGAAUGGACGGGGGCCCGCACAAGCGGUGGAGCAUGUGGCUCAAUUCGAUGCAACGCGAAGAACCUUACUUAGGCUCGAACGCUAGAGGACCGCUCAUGAAAGGGAGCUUCCCCUUUGGGGCCUCUAGCGAGGUACUGCAUGGCUGUCGUCAGCUCGUGUCGUGAGAUGUUGGGUUAAGUCCCGCAACGAGCGUAACCCCUGUUGCUAGUUACCAUCGGGUAAUGCCGGGGACUCUAGCGAAACUGCCUGCGCAAGCAGUGAGGAAGGUGGGGAUGACGUCAAGUCAUCAUGGUCCUUACGCCUAGGGCUGCACACGUGCUACAAUGGCCGGUACAACGGGUAGCCACCUCGCGAGAGGGAGCGAAUCCCUGAAAACCGGUCCCAGUUCGGAUUGGAGUCUGCAACUCGACUCCAUGAAGCAGGAAUCGCUAGUAAUCGCGGAUCAGCAAUGCCGCGGCGAAUCCGUUCCCGGGCCUUGUACACACCGCCCGUCAAGCCAUGGAAGCUGAGAGCACCCGAAGUCCGUGACUCAACUCCGGCCUUGCGUCGGAGAGAGAGCGGCCGAAGGUGAGCUCAGUGACUGGGGCU